CCUGCAAAGGGACAAUCCAAGAAGCGUCCUGGAGGAAUCUGACAUCUCUGUGGGUUCUGUGUCCAUCUACAGCCUGUCCUCAAUGCUUCAGCCCUGGAGAGAGCGUGGGUAUAGACCACCCUUCGGCCACACCUACACUGCCUUCUGGCCACUCCUCAUGGGAUCCAUGAGGAUUCCACAGAUCCAUCCACCAACCAGCACUCCCCAUCACUCCGCGCUUUGCCAGGUAGGUAGUCGGCCUCUCCACUACGCUGUCAACUCCAGGGGACAGGGCUCUUUGUGUUUUGUUCAUUGCUGUGACCCUAGCACCUAGAACAAGGCUCAACCCAGAAGAAUUGCUCAAAAAGACAUCUAUUGACCAUACAAAUAAAUGAUAGAAUCUUC
Molecule: long non-coding RNA, 384 nt
Organism: Neofelis nebulosa (Clouded leopard)
Lineage: Eukaryota; Metazoa; Chordata; Mammalia; Carnivora; Felidae
Exons: 2
Source: RefSeq, a predicted model, not a curated record